Molecule: ribosomal RNA, 408 nt
Filed under: uncultured bacterium
Lineage: Bacteria
Description: partial 16S ribosomal RNA
Rfam family: Bacterial small subunit ribosomal RNA
Source: RNAcentral
GACGAACGCUGGCGGCGUGCUUAACACAUGCAAGUCGAACGAAGUGGCGAACGGGUGAGUAACGCGUAAUCAACCUGCCCUUCAGAGGGGGAAAACAGGUGGAAACGACUGCUAAUACAGCAUACGGAGGGAGGGGAUUGCGUCUGAUUAGCUAGUUGGAGGGGUAACGGCCCACCAAGGCGAGGAUAAGUAGCCGGUCUGAGAGGAUGAACGGCCAAAUGGGGACUGAGACACGGCCCAGACUCCUACGGGAGGCAGCAGUGGGGAAUCUUCCGCAAUGGACGAAAGUCUGACGGAGCAACGCCGCGUGAGUGAUGACGGCCUUCGGGUUGUAAAGCUCUGUUAAUCGGGACGCGGUACCGGAAUAGAAAGCCACGGCUAACUACGUGCCAGCAGCCGCGGUAAUUC